Molecule: long non-coding RNA, 2902 nt
Filed under: Macaca fascicularis (crab-eating macaque)
Lineage: Eukaryota; Metazoa; Chordata; Mammalia; Primates; Cercopithecidae
Description: lncRNA (ENSMFAG00000064495.1)
Source: RNAcentral
ACUUCCUCGCCAGAGAAACUGCUGCCGGCCCCGGAGGUGGGGAAGGGUUAACGCUACCGAGUCUCCAGACCCGCGGAAGCCUAGAGGGCCUUGCACCGGCUCACCGCGUGGCUGUCGCCGUCUGGUGUCCCCAGUGGGGGAGGCGUCGCACUGCCACGUCUGUUCUGUGUGGCUGUCGGGGCCCGGGAGCCUCGCCGGGUAAGGGUCGCCGCCCAGCUGCGCGCGCCGCGUCCUCGGGCUUCCCGCGGCCCGGCCGGCAGUGCUCGAGCUGUUGCUGGGCUCGUCGCAGCCUCCUCGACGUAGAGGCAUUUUGUCCGGGUCGGGCCACUGGCUAGCUCAGAAACAACGGCCCCCCGAGGGUUUUGUACCGUUUUCUAGGUCUCGUGACGCAUUCCCCACAACUAUUUUUUCUUGUGAGGUAGGUUUGAACCUGUGAAAUAGGUACUUUUUCUACCUCUCCUUGACAGAGAAACGAAGACCUAAUGACUUGCUCAGGGUCACAUAGCUCAGCAGUGGCGGCGGCUAAUCGGAAAUAGCUCUCCUGUUGUGAUAUCUUCUGCGUUUUCCACUCCAGUAUUCUUCCCAGGAAAAUGGGAACCUUGUUUUCAUCUCGUAUCUCAUGCAGCGCCUAACAUAGUCACCUGGAUAAGAUAAGCAUUCCACACAUAUUUACUGAAUCAUAGUUAUAAGAAUCUAAGUGUUUUGGGUGUUCGGUGAUCUCUGAAUUAAUCAGUUUUUGUAAUGUCAGUCUGUACCAGUUGAGGGAUUAUUUAAUAAGUCCAGUAUGAGUGGUUUCCGAAUUACCAGUUUUUGUAACGUCAGCCUAUAGCAGUCAAGGGACUAUUAAGUCAGCUAUGCGUAGCCAGUGUUACAGAGCUGAGUAAGACGUCUUUGUCCUUGACUGGGCGCGGUGGCUCAAACCUGUAAUCCUAGCACUUUGGGAGGCCGAGGCGGGUGGAUCACGAGGUCAGGAGAUGGAGACCAUCCUGGCUAACAUGGUGAAACCCCGUCUCUACUAAAAAUACAAAAAACUAGCCGGGCGAGGUGGCGGGCGCCUGUAGUCCCAGCUACUCGGAGGCUGAGGCAGGAGAAUGGCGUGAACCCGGGAGGCGGAGGUUGCAGUGAGCCGAGAUCGCGCCACUGUACCCCAGCCUGGGCGACACAGCGAGACUCCGUCUCAAAAAAAAAAAAGACGUCUUUGUCCUUAAGCAGUCUAUUGAAAGGACUGAGGCAAUGUCAUGAAUAUCAGUAACACAAAGUAAGAAUAGGACAUAAACUGAAUUCUGUGAGAACUCCGAGAAAAUCAAAGUUGAUUUGGGGUUGGGGAAAUUAUAAAAGACCUUUUGUCCACAGGGAUUUUGUCCACAGCAGGGUAUGGAGACACAUUCCAGGCAGAGGGAAGGGUGGGAGUAAAGGCUUUAAAAGCUGGAAAUUAUUAGAGUGUGAGAUCUUAAGUACGUUUUUACUGAGUUGGGCUGCAUUUAGAGGAAGAGUUUUAAAAGUUAGAAAACGAGUUUAUGUAGAACUUAUACUGCAGUCCUUUGAAUGGGAAUGAAAAGAGUGCAUUUAAGAAAGUAAAUCCUGAGGGGCCGGGCGCGGUGGCUCAAGCCUGUAAUCCCUGCACUUUGGGAGGCUGAGAUGGGCGGAUCACAAGGUCAGGAAAUCGAGACCAUCCUGGCUAACAUGGUGAAACCCCGUCUCUACUAAAAAAUACAAAAAAAAACUAGCUGGGCGCAGUGGCGGGCGCCUGUAGUUCCGGCUACUCGGGAGGCUGAGGCAGGAGAAUGGCGUAAACCCGGGAGGCGGAGCUUGCAGUGAGCUGAGAUCUGGCCACUGCACUCCAGCGUGGCCAACAGAGCGAGACUCCGUAUCAAAAAAAAAAAAAAAGAAAAAAGAAAGUAAAUCCUGGAGCACCAUUUGAGCAUUUUUGACCGAGCUUCUUUCUAGGGCAGUUCAUCUAAGGUAAGUUUAAGGUGAGAAUGAAGAUGAGAGGCCAUUGCCAGGUCAUUAUGCUAUGUUUGCUUUUGGAUAGGAUAGGAUGUAACUCAUCUUAGGCAUAGAUCUUGAUCCCUUUUAAGUGAGAGAGAAAGAUAAACAGAUUUAAUAAUGAGCGUCUGCCUAAGUCACUUGAAUAUGUGUCUAAGUAGGUUCAUUUCCUUAAUAUCUCAGCCAGGUUGGGACUUCAUUUCUUCAGAAGUAAGUAUUGUUCUCAGUCUAUCAGAACCAGUGGACAGUAACGCCCUCAGCAUUAAGAUUCUUAUCACUUGGCCCAAUGCUGAAUAUAUAAUUAGCAUUUAUUAAGUUGAAUAAGUGAAGUUCUGCUAGCAGUGCUAAGCAGUGCCCUUGGAUAUCGUUGACAGGCCUGAUUCAUAAUAUAGUUAGGAAGUUGGUUAAAGGGAGAAGAAAAUGGAAAAGGGAUUCAUGGGAAAAAGAGGCAUGCAAGGCACAAAUUGUGAAUAGUGAAUGAGGGCCACUGAUGAUUUUCAUUAUGUGAGGUUUGCUGCCAUAGUGGCUUAUCCUUUGAAGCCCACAAAUGUUUCUCGAGCCUUUCCUUUUGGUUUCAUUCACCUCCCCUUGCUUGGGCACUGUUUUAGAGAUGAUGACCAUAGCUGGCGCAGUGGCUCACACCUGUAAUCCCAGCUCUUUGGGAGGCCUAUGUGGGUGGAUCACUUGAGGUCAGGAGUUCGAGCCCAGCCUGACCAACAUGGCAAAACCUUGUCUCUACUAAAAAUACAAAAAUUAGCGGGGCAUGGCGGUGCGUGCCUGUAAUCCCAGCUACUUGGGAGGCUGAGGCACGAGAAUGGCUUUAACCCUGAAGGCAGAGGUUGCAGUGAGCUGAGAUUGCGCCACUGCACUCCAGCCUGGGCGACAGAGCCAGACACCAUCUCAAAAAAAAAAAAAA